CCUACGGGAGGCAGCAGUGGGGAAUAUUGGGCAAUGGGCGCAAGCCUGACCCAGCAACGCCGCGUGAAGGAAGAAGGCUUUCGGGUUGUAAACUUCUUUUAAGAGGGAAGAGCAGAAGACGGUACCUCUUGAAUAAGCCACGGCUAACUACGUUCCAGCAGCCGCGGUAAUACGUAGGUGGCAAGCGUGGUCCGGAUUUACUGGGUGUAAAGGGCGUGUAGCCGGGCCGACAAGUCAGAUGUGAAAGCCAGUGGCUCAACCACGGAACUGCAUUUGAAACUGUCGGUCUGGAGUAUCGGAGAGGAGGGUGGAACUCCAAGUGUAGCGGUGAAAUGCGUAGAUAUAAGGAAGAACACCAGGGGCGAAGGCGGCCCGCUGGUCGACAACUGACGGUGAGGCGCGAAAGCGUGGGGAGCAAACAGGAUUAGAUACCCUAGUAGUC
This 442-nucleotide ribosomal RNA is filed under the name uncultured bacterium. RNAcentral's name for it is "partial 16S ribosomal RNA". It matches the Rfam family "Bacterial small subunit ribosomal RNA", at positions 338 to 795 of the family's 1533-position model. The record is from RNAcentral.